CUCUUCCGAGAGGCACAUGGUUCUAGCCUGGACCUGGCUGGGCUCCAUGAGAAUGAGUUGCCUCCAACCUGUCCCAACAGCUGACAGCCAGGAGCCACUCUCCCAGCUGCAGGCCUUUGUGGUCCAUCUUGUCCUGCUUCCUCACUGUGGACCCCUGUCUGGGCCACCCUAGUGUGCUAAGCUGAGCAGUGCAGUGUGAACAGGGCCCAUGGUGUAUUCUAGGCCACAGCCCAGCACUCCUCUGGGCUGCUCUCAAACCAUGUCCCAUCUUCAGCAUCCCUCCCACCAACUUACUCCCCUGUGGUGAGUACCGUGGAACCCCAGCCCACCUCACUAUCAUACUCAGCUUCCCCUGAUGGCCCAUCCCAGCCCCUGAAGCUCUAUGCCAAGAACACAGCUACCGCACACCACCCUGAAACAGCCACAGCCAAGGCACCUGGCUCCUCCUUGCUCCCCUGCUGAUGGUGUCCUACCCCGAACUCCAAAAAUUACACCUGGAGUCAGGUGCAGAAGGGAACCUUGUAUUUCACAGGCCUCAUUUUGAUGGCAAAAAGACAGUGUAAUAAUAACAUAAUAAUAAUAAAAAUAUAAUACUGAAA
RNAcentral lists this long non-coding RNA (599 nucleotides) under Homo sapiens (human). RNAcentral describes it as "non-protein coding lnc-B9D1-3:1". Lineage: Eukaryota; Metazoa; Chordata; Mammalia; Primates; Hominidae. The record is from RNAcentral.